Molecule: ribosomal RNA, 551 nt
Filed under: uncultured Acaulospora
Lineage: Eukaryota; Fungi; Glomeromycota; Glomeromycetes; Diversisporales; Acaulosporaceae
Description: SSU rRNA
Rfam family: Eukaryotic small subunit ribosomal RNA
Source: RNAcentral
UUGGAGGGCAAGUCUGGUGCCAGCAGCCGCGGUAAUUCCAGCUCCAAUAGCGUAUAUUAAAGUUGUUGCAGUUAAAAAGCUCGUAGUUGAAUUUCGGGGUUCAUCCGUUGGUCGGGCUUUUUGGUCUGUACUGGCGUGAUGGAUUCCUACCUUCUGAAUAACCAGCAUGUCAUUAAUUUGGUGCGCUGGGGAAGCAGGACUGUUACCUUGAAAAAAUUAGAGUGCUUAAAGCAGGCUAUCGCCUGAAUACAUUAGCAUGGAAUAAUGAAAUAGGACGGCAUGGUUCUAUUUUGUUGGUUUCUAGGAUCACCGUAAUGAUUAAUAGGGAUAGUUGGGGGCAUUAGUAUUCAAUUGUCAGAGGUGAAAUUCUUGGAUUUAUUGAAGACUAACUUCUGCGAAAGCAUUUGCCAAGGAUGUUUUCAUUAAUCAAGAACGAAAGUUAGGGGAUCGAAGACGAUCAGAUACCGUCGUAGUCUUAACCAUAAACUAUGCCGACUAGGGAUCGGACGAUGUUAAUUUUUUAAUGACUUGUUCGGCGCCUUACGGGAAAC